GCGGCCUUCGUCUAUCGGUUAGGACACCAGCCUUUCACGCUGGGGAGAGGGGUUCGACUCCCCUAGGCCGCGCCA
RNAcentral lists this transfer RNA (75 nucleotides) under Microvirga brassicacearum. Its description in RNAcentral is "Microvirga sp. CDVBN77 tRNA-Glu". It matches the Rfam family "tRNA". Rfam says of the family: Transfer RNA (tRNA) molecules are approximately 80 nucleotides in length. The record is from RNAcentral. Lineage: Bacteria; Pseudomonadati; Pseudomonadota; Alphaproteobacteria; Hyphomicrobiales; Methylobacteriaceae. RNAcentral also lists the same sequence under 1 other name.